Molecule: ribosomal RNA, 466 nt
Filed under: uncultured bacterium
Lineage: Bacteria
Description: partial 16S ribosomal RNA
Rfam family: Bacterial small subunit ribosomal RNA
Source: RNAcentral
GAUGAACGCUGGCGGCGUGCUUAACACAUGCAAGUCGAACGAUGAAGCCCAGCUUGCUGGGUGGAUUAGUGGCGAACGGGUGAGUAACACGUGAGUAACCUGCCCUUAACUCUGGGAUAAGCCUGGGAAACUGGGUCUAAUACCGGAUAGGAGCGUCCACCGCAUGGUGGGUGUUGGAAAGAUUUAUCGGUUUUGGAUGGACUCGCGGCCUAUCAGCUUGUUGGUGAGGUAAUGGCUCACCAAGGCGACGACGGGUAGCCGGCCUGAGAGGGUGACCGGCCACACUGGGACUGAGAGACGGCCCAGACUCCUACGGGAGGCAGCAGUGGGGAAUAUUGCACAAUGGGCGCAAGCCUGAUGCAGCGACGCCGCGUGCGGGAUGACGGCCUUCGGGUUGUAAACCUCUUUCAGUAGGGAAGAAGCGAAAGUGACGGUACCUGCAGAAGAAGCACCGGCUAACUACGUG